Corvus hawaiiensis (hawaiian crow) is the source of this 973-nucleotide long non-coding RNA. RefSeq lists it as uncharacterized. Lineage: Eukaryota; Metazoa; Chordata; Aves; Passeriformes; Corvidae. The transcript is spliced from 3 exons. The record is from RefSeq and is a predicted model, not a curated record.
GGCAUCCCACAUAGCUGAGAAUUUGGUAAAGAAGUCAGAAAUGUGGAGAAAGACGUAAAAGGAGAAGAAGAAGAAACAAGGGGAUCUCCUUGGAUUUUCUCUUUCCCCAAAUGAGGCUGGGGACUCCUCCAUUGCCAUGAAAGCUGGGAGAAAGGAGAGUGGGAGAAGAGCAGCAUCUCUCCUGGGAUAAUUGGAUUUCAGUGCUGGCACCCAGCCCAGCCAGAACUGGAGCUGCAGCACCCCGAGCUGAGGGAAGCAGUGCCUGCCCGAGCCUCUGAACUCUCAUCCAGCAAACCUCGCAGCUGGAACCCAAGAAUUCCAGAGCAUGAUCAUCCUAGAGAAGAAAGGCAAGCAGUUCAGAAAAUUUCUAAAGAAAAACAACAUUUUACAAACUCUUCUCUUUUUUUCACCUUACAAGAAAAGACAAUUUUACAAAUUCCUGGAGGAAAAUAUGGACUAAGAAGAGAACACUUCCCAAAAGCAAUAUUAUUUGGUCUUGAUCCUGUGAUUACUUCUCAUGUGAAUGGCAGCCUUGCAGUCAACAUUUAGACACAAUGAGACUGUUCUGCAUGAGGUGGAUUUGAAGUUGUGUGAUCAUAUGACUGUGGAUAGUAAUAAGGAAGGAUUUUCAAGGCAGCCUGAAGCACUUAUGUACCUAAACCAAAUAAAAAUUCAUUACUUGAUUCCUACAUCUCUUGGGUGCCUUUGAAAUAGAUGUAUAUAUAUAAAAAUAUUACCCUUUAAUUAGAUAUCUUUAUUACACCUAAUAGCAAUUAUUAUAAGCAUUGAACACUGUUUUGAUACUUCUACUUCUUUUCCAGACUUUUAUAUUCUUAUAUGGAAACCUUACCUAUGUUGUAAAUUUUUGUUUUCCUGUGAAAUAUAUAUUACGAAGGAGAAAAACUGCUGGUAUGAUCAUGGAAAAUUAAUUCAGAUAACAGAUUAAAAUAAUUUUAAUAUUCUUGAACUUUCA